UGCCUUUAUGUGUUGCCCUUUCAUUGCUUCCUUAGUGAUUGGGGUGUCAACUAAGGCAUACAGUGAAGUUUGUGGUUGUCUAUGAAAUGAGUUUCCAGUGACUCCUCUACAGAAACAACUGCAACGACACAC
Amphilophus citrinellus (Midas cichlid) is the source of this 132-nucleotide small nucleolar RNA. NCBI's taxonomy places the organism in Eukaryota, Metazoa, Chordata, Actinopteri, Cichliformes, Cichlidae. The record is from Ensembl.